GCGUGCAGGACGAAGGCCUUCGGGUUGUAAACUGCUUUUGUACGGAACGAAAAGGUCAUUAAUAACACUAGUGGCUGAUGACGGUACCGUAAGAAUAAGCACCGGCUAACUACGUGCCAGCAGCCGCGGUAAUACGUAGGGUGCGAGCGUUAAUCGGAAUUACUGGGCGUAAAGCGUGCGCAGGCGGUUAUAUAAGACAGAUGUGAAAUCCCCGGGCUCAACCUGGGAACUGCAUAUGUGACUGUAUAGCUAGAGUACGGUAGAGGGGGAUGGAAUUCCGCGUGUAGCAGUGAAAUGCGU
This 300-nucleotide ribosomal RNA is filed under the name uncultured bacterium. Its description in RNAcentral is "bacterial SSU rRNA". It matches the Rfam family "Bacterial small subunit ribosomal RNA", at positions 399 to 691 of the family's 1533-position model. The record is from RNAcentral.